CAAAUCCAAUCUGGCAAAGCCACCCCAGCAAUUCCGCCCCAGCAAAGCCACCCCAAAAAAAGUCAUCCCAAAAAAAGCCUCCUCAAAAAAAAAACCACUGCGGCAAAGCCACCCCAGGAAAAGCCACCCUGGCAACUCCACACUGCGGCAAUGCCACCCUGGGCAAGCCAGCACAGAAAUGCCACCCUGGCAGAGGCACCCUGAGAAAGCCACCCCAGCAAAUCCAUCCUGGCAAAUCCAUUCCAGCAAAUCCAUCCUGGCAAAUCCAUUCCAGCAAUUCCACCCUGGCAAAGCCACUGCAGCAAAGCCACCCCGGAAAUUUCAUCCUGGCAAAGCCACCCUGGCAUUUCUGCCCUGGCAAUGCCACCCUGGCAAAGCCGUGAUGGAAAAGAUACCUCACAAGUGCCAUCCCAAAAAAAAUCACUGCGGCAAAGCUACCCUGGCAACUUCAGUCUGGAAAUGCCACCCUGGAAAUGCCACCCUGCCAAUGCCGCUGCAGCAAAGCCACUGCUGGCAAUGCCACCCUGGCAACUCCACUCUGGAAAAGCCAAUCUGGCAAUGCCACCCUGGCAAUGCCACUGCAGCAAAGCCACCCCAGCAAUGCCACUCUAGCAAAGCCACUGCAGCAAAGCCACUGUGGCAAUGCCAACCUGGCAAAGCCACUCCAUCAAGCCUGGCAAUGCCACCCCAUCCAAUCCACCCUGGCAAUGCCAGCCUGGCAAAGCCACUGCAGCAAAGCCACCGUGGCAAUGCCACCCCAGCGAUUCUGCCCUGGCAAUGCCAUCCUGGCAAUGCCACCCUGGCAAAGCCACCCCAUCAAUGCCACCCUGGCAAAGCCAUCCAAUCCAUCCUGGCAAAGCCACUGUGGCAAUUCUGCCCCGGAAAAGCCACCCUGGCAAAGCCAUCCCAUCAAAUCAACCCUGGCAAAGCUGCCCCAGCAAUGCCACCCCACCAAAUUCACCCUGGCAAAGCCACCGCAGCAAUGCCACCCUGGCAAUGCCACUUUGGCAAUUCUGCCCUGGCAAAGCCACCCCAUCAAAUCUACCCUGGCAAAGCCACUGCAGCAAAGCCACCCUACCAAAGCCACUCCAGCAAUGCCACCCUGGCAAUGCCACCCCAGCCAUGCCACCCCAGCAAUUCUGCCCCGGCAAAGCCACCCCACCAAAUCCACCCUGCCAAAGCCACCCCAGCCAUGCCACCAUGCCAACCUUCCCCUGCCACAUCCCCCCAGCAAAUCCCCCUUGGCAAAUCCCCCCUGGCAACCCCUUUUGGGCACC
RNAcentral lists this long non-coding RNA (1277 nucleotides) under Junco hyemalis (dark-eyed junco). RNAcentral describes it as "lncRNA (ENSJHYG00000002049.1)". Lineage: Eukaryota; Metazoa; Chordata; Aves; Passeriformes; Passerellidae. The record is from RNAcentral.